CCUACGGGAGGCAGCAGUGGGGAAUAUUGGUCAAUGGGCGCAAGCCUGACCCAGCAACGCCGCGUGAAGGAAGAAGGCUUUCGGGUUGUAAACUUCCUUUGACAGGGAAGUGUAGCAGACGGUACCUGGCGAAUAAUCCACGCCUAACUACGUGCCAGCAGCCGCGGUAAUACGUAGGUGGCCAGCGUUAUCCGGAUUUACUGGGUGUAACGGACGUGUAGCCGGGUUGACAAGUCAGAUGUGAAAUCCUGCGGCUUAACCGUAGAAUUGCAUUUGAAACUGGUAGUCUUGAGUACUGGAGAGGCGGACGGAAUUCCUGGUGUAGCGGUGAAAUGCGUAGAUAUUAGGAAGAACACCGGUGGCGAAGGCAGUCUGCUGGACAGCAACUGACGGUGAGGCGCGAAAGCGUGGGGAGCAAACAGGAUUAGAUACCCUUGUAGUC
Molecule: ribosomal RNA, 442 nt
Filed under: uncultured bacterium
Lineage: Bacteria
Description: partial 16S ribosomal RNA
Rfam family: Bacterial small subunit ribosomal RNA
Source: RNAcentral